GAACAAUAUAUGUAAACUGGAUAAAAACUUUAAACUUUUAAAAUAUUUAACUUCAAUAACAAAGGCUAUAAAAAAAGAAAAUAAGUAAAAUAAUCCAUAAAAUAAUCCAAUUAUUUACUAUAUUUACGAAAUUUUAUAAAAUUAAAAUGAGGAGAAAACUUUUUCUAACUAUCAUUUAAAUGUGUGCAUGCAUAUGUGUGCGUAUGAGUGUGUGAAGCCCAGCAUGUAUAUGCCAUGAGCCAUAUACCUCCACUUAACAAGAUUGGUCCUAGUUGCCGCAUUAGCCAUUAGGGUCAAGCAUCCAUAUAAUUAGGUAAAAUUGCUGCCUAUAUCCUAGGCUCCAGUUAGACAAGUAGAG
This 358-nucleotide unclassified non-coding RNA is filed under the name Hevea brasiliensis (rubber tree). The record is from RNAcentral. Lineage: Eukaryota; Viridiplantae; Streptophyta; Magnoliopsida; Malpighiales; Euphorbiaceae.